CCCUGGGUUAGUACUGGAUGGGAGACCGCCUGGGAAUACCCGGG
Molecule: ribosomal RNA, 44 nt
Filed under: Tursiops truncatus (common bottlenose dolphin)
Lineage: Eukaryota; Metazoa; Chordata; Mammalia; Artiodactyla; Delphinidae
Source: RNAcentral